GGAGAGUUGGCCGAGUGGCUGAAGGCAACCGCCUGCUAAGCGGUUGUACUGGAAACGGUACCCCGGGUUCAAAUCCCGGACUCUCCGCCA
RNAcentral lists this transfer RNA (90 nucleotides) under Candidatus Firestonebacteria bacterium RifOxyC12_full_39_7. RNAcentral's name for it is "tRNA-Ser". It matches the Rfam family "tRNA". Rfam says of the family: Transfer RNA (tRNA) molecules are approximately 80 nucleotides in length. Their secondary structure includes four short double-helical elements and three loops (D, anti-codon, and T loops). RNAcentral also lists the same sequence under 2 other names. The record is from RNAcentral. Lineage: Bacteria; Candidatus Firestoneibacteriota.